RNAcentral lists this long non-coding RNA (1158 nucleotides) under Oncorhynchus mykiss (rainbow trout). RNAcentral's name for it is "lncRNA (ENSOMYG00000048345.1)". Lineage: Eukaryota; Metazoa; Chordata; Actinopteri; Salmoniformes; Salmonidae. The record is from RNAcentral.
AUGGUGGGCUGGAUGGUGGGCUGGAUGGUGGGCUGGCUGGAGGGUGGAUGGUGGGCUGAAUGGAGGGCUGGAUGGUGGGCUGGAUGGUGGGUUGGCUGGAGGGCUGGAUGGAGGGCUGGAUGGAGGGCUGGAUGGCAGGAUGGUGGGCUGGAUGGUGGGCUGGCUGGCUGGAUGGAGGGCUUGAUGGUGGGAUGGAUGGUGGGCUGGCUGGAUGGUGGGCUGGAUGGUGGGCUGGAUGGUGGGCUGGAUGGAGGGCUGGAUGGAGGGCUGGAUGGUGGGCUGGAUGGCUGGUGGGCUGGCUGGUGGGCUGGAUGGUGGGCUGGCUGGCUGGAUGGAUGGUGGGCUGGCUGGAUGGAGGGCUGGCUGGAUGGUGGGCUGGAUGGUGGGCUGGCUGGUGGGCUGGAUGGUGGGCUGGCUGGAUGGUGGGCUGGCUGGCUGGAUGGAGGGCUGGAUGGUGGGCUGGAUGGUGGGCUGGAUGGUGGGCUGGCUGGAGGAUUGGAUGGUGGGCUGGAUGGUGGGCUGGAUGGUGGGUUGGCUGGAGGGCUGGCUGGUGGGCUGGAUGGUGGGCUGGAUGGUGGGCUGGCUGGUGGGCUGGAUGGGGGGCUGGCUGGUGGGCUGGCUGGGGGGCUGGCUGGUGGGCUGGAUGGUGGGUUGGCUGGUGGGCUGGAAGGUGGGCUGGAUGGAGGGCUGGCUGGAGGGCUGGCUGGCUGGAUGGAGGGCUGGCUGGAUGGUGGGCUGGCUGGAUGGUGGGCUGGCUGGAUGGUGGGCUUGAUGGUGGGCUGGAUGGUGGGCUGGAUGGUGGGCUGGAUGGAGGGCUGGAUGGAGGGCUGGAUGGAGGGCUGGAUGGCUGGAUGGUGGGCAGGAUGGCUGGAUGGUGGGCUGGAUGGUGGGCUGGCUGGCUGGAUGGAUGGUGGGCUGGCUGGAUGGAGGGCUGGCUGGAUGGUGGGCUGGAUGGUGGGCUGGCUGGUGGGCUGGAUGGUGGGCUGGCUGGAUGGUGGGCUGGCUGGCUGGAUGGAUGGAGGGCUGGAUGGCUGGAUGGAGGGCUGGAUGGUGGGCUGGAUGGUGGGAUGGCUGGAUGGUGGGCUGGCUGGCUGGAUGGUGGGCUGGAUGGUGAGCUGGCUGGUGGGCUGGCUGGUUGAAUGGUGGGCUGGCUGGUGA